UGAGAGUCCUGAAGGAACGUUGAAGACGACGACGUUGAUAGGUCGGGUGUGUAAGCGUAGCGAUACGUUGAGCUAACCGAUACUAAUGAACCGUGAGGCUUAACCUU
RNAcentral lists this ribosomal RNA (107 nucleotides) under Kluyvera ascorbata. Its description in RNAcentral is "partial 23S ribosomal RNA". It matches the Rfam family "Bacterial large subunit ribosomal RNA", at positions 2819 to 2925 of the family's 2925-position model. Lineage: Bacteria; Pseudomonadati; Pseudomonadota; Gammaproteobacteria; Enterobacterales; Enterobacteriaceae. RNAcentral also lists the same sequence under 2 other names. The record is from RNAcentral.